RNAcentral lists this ribosomal RNA (1453 nucleotides) under uncultured organism. RNAcentral's name for it is "16S ribosomal RNA". It matches the Rfam family "Bacterial small subunit ribosomal RNA". The record is from RNAcentral.
GACGAACGCUGGCGGCGUGCCUAAUACAUGCAAGUAGAACGCUGAAGAGAGGAGCUUGCUCUUCUUGGAUGAGUUGCGAACGGGUGAGUAACGCGUAGGUAACCUGCCUUGUAGCGGGGGAUAACUAUUGGAAACGAUAGCUAAUACCGCAUAACAAUGGAUGACACAUGUCAUUUAUUUGAAAGGGGCAAAUGCUCCACUACAAGAUGGACCUGCGUUGUAUUAGCUAGUAGGUGAGGUAACGGCUCACCUAGGCGACGAUACAUAGCCGACCUGAGAGGGUGAUCGGCCACACUGGGACUGAGACACGGCCCAGACUCCUACGGGAGGCAGCAGUAGGGAAUCUUCGGCAAUGGGGGCAACCCUGACCGAGCAACGCCGCGUGAGUGAAGAAGGUUUUCGGAUCGUAAAGCUCUGUUGUAAGUCAAGAACGAGUGUGAGAGUGGAAAGUUCACACUGUGACGGUAGCUUACCAGAAAGGGACGGCUAACUACGUGCCAGCAGCCGCGGUAAUACGUAGGUCCCGAGCGUUGUCCGGAUUUAUUGGGCGUAAAGCGAGCGCAGGCGGUUUGAUAAGUCUGAAGUUAAAGGCUGUGGCUCAACCAUAGUUCGCUUUGGAAACUGUCAAACUUGAGUGCAGAAGGGGAGAGUGGAAUUCCAUGUGUAGCGGUGAAAUGCGUAGAUAUAUGGAGGAACACCGGUGGCGAAAGCGGCUCUCUGGUCUGUAACUGACGCUGAGGCUCGAAAGCGUGGGGAGCGAACAGGAUUAGAUACCCUGGUAGUCCACGCCGUAAACGAUGAGUGCUAGGUGUUGGAUCCUUUCCGGGAUUCAGUGCCGCAGCUAACGCAUUAAGCACUCCGCCUGGGGAGUACGACCGCAAGGUUGAAACUCAAAGGAAUUGACGGGGGCCCGCACAAGCGGUGGAGCAUGUGGUUUAAUUCGAAGCAACGCGAAGAACCUUACCAGGUCUUGACAUCCCGAUGCUAUUUCUAGAGAUAGAAAGUUACUUCGGUACAUCGGUGACAGGUGGUGCAUGGUUGUCGUCAGCUCGUGUCGUGAGAUGUUGGGUUAAGUCCCGCAACGAGCGCAACCCCUAUUGUUAGUUGCCAUCAUUCAGUUGGGCACUCUAGCGAGACUGCCGGUAAUAAACCGGAGGAAGGUGGGGAUGACGUCAAAUCAUCAUGCCCCUUAUGACCUGGGCUACACACGUGCUACAAUGGUUGGUACAACGAGUUGCGAGUCGGUGACGGCAAGCUAAUCUCUUAAAGCCAAUCUCAGUUCGGAUUGUAGGCUGCAACUCGCCUACAUGAAGUCGGAAUCGCUAGUAAUCGCGGAUCAGCACGCCGCGGUGAAUACGUUCCCGGGCCUUGUACACACCGCCCGUCACACCACGAGAGUUUGUAACACCCGAAGUCGAUGAGGUAACCUUUUGGAGCCAGCCGCCUAAGGUGG